CUAGAACAUGAAAAGUCUAUGAGAGAAGGGCAAGGGAGGAGAAGGGAGACUCCUAUGUGUCCCUUCACUAAUGGCUUGCUUUGAGGAUAGGCAAUGAUAAUGCAUAUCUCUCUUCACGCUCAGAUCUAAAAGCACUUUAGACACUGGUGGGCAAAUAAUACUAAUGGCCUCUUUUACAAAAAGGCUUAAGGUGGGACUUUCAAAGGAGUCACCCUGCUCCCACUGAAUUUCACGGAGGCUUGGGUGUGUAACUCCCAGAGGCUGCCUUGAAAUCCCAGCCUCCAAGAUUUGCCCAAAGCUCAGAGCAAGGCAACGGCAGAGCUCUGAAUCCAAAUCUUCUCACUCAGGCCCCAUUUACACGUGUCUGCAAAACUAGUGUCUCAGUCUGGCAGCCUAGCCACUGGGUCACGCUACCCCAGUUAAUUAUUGAAUGGCUAACCUCAAAAUGUGGUGGGAGUGAGGAAAAAAUCAAAUACAACUGAAAUAUAAAAAUAGCUUGUGAUACCACUAAAACAGUUUCUCAUCUCUUGCAUCAUUUGAUAAGUACAGAACAAGUAAGAUGAUAACACAGAAAUGUAUUUGGUCAAGGUCUAAGCAAUCAAUAUUUUUUGAUAAAAUACAUUCUAUAUUAAUGCUCAUUCACAUUUAAUACACAUGUAAAUUUAAAGUUUCUAUGUAUAAAAUUCCAGUUUAAGUGCUACCUCGUAGUGCUUCAGUUCAGCAGUGGGGCUCAACACGUUCAGUUCCCAGCAAAGUGAUGGGAGACAAGAGCGUUCAGCUCUUUGCAGGACCAAGCCUCACGACCCCUUUGGAGGGCCUGGUCCUGCCGCCCUCCUUUGAACAAAACUCUUGCUGUCUUCAACAGGAAUUUUGCCUGAAUGGGAGCUGCAGAAGGGCCCCCUAACUAUCAAGCACUUGCACUCUGUUGUGGAAGUCACUCAAGUAGCAUAUGGCGUUCCAAAAAAAAGGGCCCCGAGCACCGCUGGGAAGCUGCAAGGAGCCUCAGGCUGCGCUUCCCUCUGGCUACGCAUUUCCACCCUGCACCAUCCCCGCUGCUGUGCUGGCACCCUCGCCUGCGUGGCCACGUGCUGGAUCGGAUCAGACGCCUAAUCCAGCCGAAAAACUGUCUGCCAGAAAAACCGCAGAAGGUUAUCUCCUGGCCAGCUCAAGUCUGCAGCCCAGCCCAGGACACGGGGCCACGAGGAGCUGUGCUGGGAGGACAGGAGGCAGGUGGACAUUGCCACUGCGGGGGCGUCCUGCCAGGAGACG
This 1269-nucleotide long non-coding RNA is filed under the name Apteryx owenii (little spotted kiwi). RNAcentral describes it as "lncRNA (ENSAOWG00000000913.1)". Lineage: Eukaryota; Metazoa; Chordata; Aves; Apterygiformes; Apterygidae. The record is from RNAcentral.